GGCAACCCUUAUCUUUUGUUGCCAGCGGUUCGGCCGGGAAUUCAAAGGAGACUGCCAGUGAUAAACUGGAGGAAGGUGGGGAUGACGUCAAGUCUUCAUGGCCCUUACGACCAGGGUUACACACGUGUUACAAUGGCAUAUACAAAGAGAAGCGACCUGGGGAGAGCAAGCGGACCUCAUAAAGUAUUUUCUAUUCCGGAUUGGAUUUUGAAAUUGGAUUCCAGGAAUUGGGAUUGGUUGGUAUUGGUGGUUCACAAUGCUGCGGUGAAUACGUUCCCGGGCCUUGUACACACCGCCCGUCACACCAUGGGAGUGUGUGCUCCAAGAAGCUAGGUAGCUUAACGCUACCAGG
RNAcentral lists this ribosomal RNA (352 nucleotides) under Enterobacteriaceae bacterium. Its description in RNAcentral is "bacterial SSU rRNA". It matches the Rfam family "Bacterial small subunit ribosomal RNA", at positions 1097 to 1449 of the family's 1533-position model. The record is from RNAcentral. Lineage: Bacteria; Pseudomonadati; Pseudomonadota; Gammaproteobacteria; Enterobacterales; Enterobacteriaceae.